RNAcentral lists this long non-coding RNA (261 nucleotides) under Elaeis guineensis (African oil palm). RNAcentral's name for it is "long non-coding RNA (EGUI_LNC020519)". The record is from RNAcentral. Lineage: Eukaryota; Viridiplantae; Streptophyta; Magnoliopsida; Arecales; Arecaceae.
CCUGGAUCAAUCUUUACCAUUAGUCUAGGAGAUGCUGCUGAUAGGAGGUAGGAAGAUAUUUUUCAUGAAAUUUAUCUUUCAUUUCAUCUCAGGUACUUAUGGGCUCCUGUCUCCUAUAUAUAGCUAAUCACUCCAUAUUUCUUCUUAUUAUGCCAAUAUAAUUUGGCUUGAUCUAAAAGUCUCAUUUUAGCGAACAUGAUUUUUCUCUUCUCAGACAUAUCGUAUCAUUCAAAAUAAUGAUACAUGUUUGCCUCCCAAUCA